This is a non-coding RNA of Paramuricea clavata, 155 nucleotides long. The record is from the annotation of a GenBank genome assembly. Lineage: Eukaryota; Metazoa; Cnidaria; Anthozoa; Malacalcyonacea; Plexauridae.
UAUCAGACUUGUUGCAAAGUUGUUCCAACAAGUCUGAUGCAGUCAUGAGUCAUGACAUGACAAUAUAAAUAUUGUUAUACCAUCAACCGUGUAACAUUCUUGUUAUAUCAUGACUGUAUCAGACUUGUUAGAACAACCUUGUAACAAGUCUGAUA